CCCUUUGAUACUCUGGGCGGCACGCGCGCUACACUGGUUUAUAUAACGUGUAAUUUGGACGAUAGUCUGUAUAAAUCACUAAUAUAAAACCGUGAAUGGGAUAGUUUAUUGCAACUUACAAACUUUAACUAGGAAUCCCUUGUAGAAGUAGUGAAUUAUACUGCUUCGAAUACGUCCCUGCCGAUUGUACACACCGCCCGUCGUUUCUUCCGACUGGUACUCAUUGUGAAUUGCGAGGAGAUUCUGUCAAAUCGUUGUAAAUGCUGGGUAUUGGGGGAAGAAAAAGUCGUAACA
RNAcentral lists this ribosomal RNA (294 nucleotides) under uncultured eukaryote. RNAcentral describes it as "partial 18S ribosomal RNA". It matches the Rfam family "Eukaryotic small subunit ribosomal RNA", at positions 1470 to 1796 of the family's 1831-position model. The record is from RNAcentral.